GAAAUGCGAUAAGUAAUGUGAAUUGCAGAAUUCAGUGAAUCAUCGAAUCUUUGAACGCACAUUGCGCCCCUUGGUAUUCCGAGGGGCAUGCCUGUUCGAGCGUCAUUAUAACUACUCAAGCCUGGCUUGGUAUUGGGGUCCGCGGUCUCGCGGUCCUUAAAAUCAGUGGCGGUGCCCUCUGGCUCUAAGCGUAGUAAUGCUCUCGCUAUAGGGUCUUUUGGUAACUAGCCAGAACCCCCCAUUUUCUCAGUUUGACCUCGGAUCAGGUAGGGAUACCCGCUGAACUUAA
Molecule: unclassified non-coding RNA, 289 nt
Filed under: uncultured Leotiomycetes
Lineage: Eukaryota; Fungi; Ascomycota; Leotiomycetes
Description: sequence contains ITS1
Rfam family: 5.8S ribosomal RNA (bases 1-105)
Source: RNAcentral